AGCUCCAAUAGCGUAUAUUAAAGUUGUUGCGGUUAAAAAGCUCGUAGUUGGGUUUCUGUCGAGGGCGGGCGGUCCUUGCUUGGCGAGAGUAUCUGCCUCGGCCUUGGCAUCCUCGUGGGAGAUGUAACUGCGCUUGAGUGCGUGGUGCGAACCUCGCGACUUUUACUUUGAGGAAAUUAGAGUGUUUGCGGCAAGCUAUCGCCUUGAAUAUAUUAGCAUGGAAUAAUGAUUUAGGAUUUUGGUUCUACCUUGUUGGUUCCUAGAACUAGAGUUAUGGUUAAUAGGGACAAUUGGGGGCAUUUGUAUUAACCUGUCAGAGGUGGAAUUCUUGGAUUAGGUUACGACACGCUACUGCGAAAGCAUUUGCCAAGGGUGUUUUCA
Molecule: ribosomal RNA, 381 nt
Filed under: uncultured eukaryote
Lineage: Eukaryota
Description: SSU rRNA
Rfam family: Eukaryotic small subunit ribosomal RNA
Source: RNAcentral